Lycium ferocissimum is the source of this 1415-nucleotide RNA transcript. It is a transcript of the gene named single-stranded DNA-binding protein WHY1, chloroplastic-like, with no coding region annotated. The record is from RefSeq and is a predicted model, not a curated record. NCBI's taxonomy places the organism in Eukaryota, Viridiplantae, Streptophyta, Magnoliopsida, Solanales, Solanaceae. The transcript has 8 exons.
UGCUUAAACACCAGUAGGUGAUUGAAAGCUCUUCCCUUUUGCUCCAAGAACACCAGACUUUCCAAAUUCCACUUUCCAUUCUUGGAACAUCAAACUUUCUUAUAAAGAUUAAAACUUUCAUUACCCCUUUGCCAUAAAACCUUUUGAAGCAAUGUCUAAUUUCUCUCUUUCUCCUUCACCUACUUCAGGUUUUAGCCUUAACCUCCAAAACCCUACUAAAACCUCACCUUAUCAUCAUCAACCUCUCUCUUUUUCCACCUCCAUUAAUAAUACCAUUUUUACCCCCUUAAAUUCCCACACAAAAACAUUCAAAGCUUUGCCCAAGAAUCUUUCCUUAACAUGUCGCCAUUCUGAUUAUUUUGAACCUCAACAGCAACAACAACUACAGUCACAUGGUAAACUCUGGGCAUCUUCGCCUAAGGUUUUUGUUGGAUACUCAAUAUACAAAGGGAAAGCAGCUCUCACCGUUGAGCCUCGGUCGCCAGAGUUCGCGCCUAUAAAUUCGGGGGCAUUCAAGCUGUCAAGAGAAGGUAUGGUGAUGCUUCAAUUUGCACCCGCUGCUGGUGUUCGUCAAUAUGAUUGGAGUAGAAAGCAGGUCUUCUCGUUGUCAGUGACUGAAAUGGGAUCUAUUAUCAGCCUUGGGGCAAAAGAUUCAUGUGAGUUCUUCCAUGAUCCAAACAAAGGAAGAAGUGAUGAAGGUAAAGUCAGGAAAGUGUUGAAGGUCGAGCCACUUCCAGAUGGCUCUGGUCACUUCUUUAAUCUCAGUGUUCAAAACAAGCUUAUUAAUUUGGAUGAGAACAUUUACAUCCCUGUUACAAAGGCAGAGUUUGCAGUUCUUGUCUCAGCAUUCAAUUUUGUUGUGCCAUACCUUUUAGGUUGGCACACUGCCGCAAAUUCCUUCAAGCCUGAAGAUACCAGUCGCUCAAAUAAUGCAAAUCCAAGAUCAGGCGCUGAACUCGAAUGGAAUAGAUAGGUUCUCGCGGGCUAGAGAACGUUGCCUCGACUAUGAUCGAGGGGCAAGAUGUUCUUUUGGCCCUCAGAUCGAAAUUUUGUAUGACCCACUCUGACUUGCGCCCUCCAGUGAUUUUGCAAAGGGUUUUAGAAGUUUCGGCGAUAGUUGUAUUAACUCUCUUAUGGAUUAUGUGCUAUUCCAGCUAGCCUUUUCAUAAUCACAAAAAGAGCAUAUGUCAGCUUGUCAAACAAGGGAGCUCUUUUAGCUGAUGUUUGCUUCAAGAAUGAGGCUCACACUGACCUCUGCAGAUCUUUUUUUGAAAGGUCCAAAGAAAUACUUGAGGAUUUUCCUGCUGCGUCACAUGUUAUAGUAGGUAGAGAAGUGCACAAAGACGAGUUAAAUUUUCCCGAGCUUGUAUUAUAAGAGAUGUUUGGCAUUAAAGGAAAAAAGCUUUAAGGCUCUA